AUUGAACGCUGGCGGAAUGCUUUACACAUGCAAGUCGAACGGUAGAGGGGGCAACCCCUCGAGAGUGGCGAACGGGUGAGUAAUAUAUCGGAACGUGCCCAGUCGUGGGGGAUAACGUAGCGAAAGUUACGCUAAUACCGCAUACGAUCUAAGGAUGAAAGCGGGGGAUCGCGAGACCUCGCGCGAUUGGAGCGGCCGAUACCAGAUUAGGUAGUUGGUGGGGUAAAGGCUCACCAAGCCAACGAUCUGUAGCUGGUCUGAGAGGACGACCAGCCACACUGGAACUGAGACACGGUCCAGAAUCCUACGGGAGGCAGCAGUGGGGAAUAUUGGACAAUGGACGCAAGUCUGAUCCAGCCAUUCCGCGUGCAGGAUGAAGGCCCUCGGGUUGUAAACUGCUUUUGUACGGAACGAAAAGGUCUCUCUUAAUACGGGGGGCUCAUGACGGUACCGUAAGAAUAAGCACCGGCUAACUACGUGCCAGCAGCCGCCGUAA
Molecule: ribosomal RNA, 496 nt
Filed under: uncultured bacterium
Lineage: Bacteria
Description: partial 16S ribosomal RNA
Rfam family: Bacterial small subunit ribosomal RNA
Source: RNAcentral